AUAAGAGGUGAUUGCAUAGA
RNAcentral lists this unclassified non-coding RNA (20 nucleotides) under Mus musculus (house mouse). Its description in RNAcentral is "oocyte_clustered_small_RNA6612". The record is from RNAcentral. Lineage: Eukaryota; Metazoa; Chordata; Mammalia; Rodentia; Muridae.